CUGACAUGGCAGCUACGGCUGAAAAAAGACGAAAACGCCUUGAUGCGUUUGUUUCUCGCAAAACACAUGUAGCUCGCGGGUGAUCCCGCGUGGCACGUUUGAUCACACGUGACAGUUACUCAUAAACAAUGGUGGCGCGAGAAACGCUUGACAAUGAGUUUUAACUUAUAUUUAUUGCAUACUUGAGAUAAAAUAUUUUUUAAAAUAAAAUAUUUUUCCGACCUACCUACCCAUAUAAACAUGGCUGUGAAACCAACUAUUAUUUUUAUUUGGCCUAAGGACAAUAUUGCUACAAAACUGGUCACAUUGUUCAUUUUCGAAACGAAUCACAAAACAUGUUCAAUUUUGUUCUAUCAUAGAUUCGUGCUUUUUGAAUUAUCUUGUACAAGUAGACGAGUAUUGGUAGGUGAACGAUCAAAUAUGCAUUUAAAUGAAGUAAUAAUUCCCCGAGCCACUGAUUCGCCAAAUCCUAUUCCCAGCAGCAAAAUUGCUGGUGCAAAUUCCAUUCACAGUGGUCCAAAUCUUUUCAAUCUUUCUAAAAAUCUUCCCAGUGAAAAAUAGGAAAAUCCCAGCUCCCAUUUAACCCUCACGACUAGGGCUCGAAUUUCCCUGAAAUCAAUCGACGGCAAUGGCGUUAAAAAUUGCCGUAGAACGUAACAGCUGUCUACGGCAAUUUUGACAGUUUCCACGGCAUUUUUCAAAUUACUGUAAUAAAACUUUAAUUUUAUUGUUACUUUGGAUUUUUGACAAGCUAGAAACAUGUCUACGU
Molecule: non-coding RNA, 769 nt
Organism: Paramuricea clavata
Lineage: Eukaryota; Metazoa; Cnidaria; Anthozoa; Malacalcyonacea; Plexauridae
Source: the annotation of a GenBank genome assembly